UACAGAGGUCCCAAGCGUUGUUCGGAUUCACUGGGCGUAAAGGGUGCGUAGGCGGUCGGGUAAGUCUGAUGUGAAAUCUUCAAGCUUAACUUGGAAACUGCAUCGGAUACUAUUCGGCUAGAGGAAUGGAGGGGAGACUGGAAUACUUGGUGUAGCAGUGAAAUGCGUAGAUAUCAAGUGGAACACCAGUGGCGAAGGCGAGUCCCUGGACAACUCCUGACACUGAGGCACGAAAGCUAGGGGAGCAAACAGG
This 253-nucleotide ribosomal RNA is filed under the name uncultured bacterium. RNAcentral describes it as "partial 16S ribosomal RNA". It matches the Rfam family "Bacterial small subunit ribosomal RNA", at positions 524 to 776 of the family's 1533-position model. The record is from RNAcentral.